This 1042-nucleotide long non-coding RNA is filed under the name Astyanax mexicanus (Mexican tetra). RNAcentral's name for it is "lncRNA (ENSAMXG00005006086.1)". The record is from RNAcentral. Lineage: Eukaryota; Metazoa; Chordata; Actinopteri; Characiformes; Acestrorhamphidae.
UGUAUUAACAUUUCCUUCCAAUUGCAAAAAAUGUAAAAUUUACAUAUGUCUGGCUUGUACUGAAUGGUGAAAUUAAGUCAGAAAAAUAAGCUGUUAUACAUUUUUCAAAGUUCAGUACCUCCUCUACUUUUGAACGCUUUGCCAUUCAGGAAGACAUUAGUAACCAUAAUAAUUAGUCAACAGAGAAAAAUUGCGAAUGCAGGGCUUUCUUAUAACAUUCAGCAGCUCCAAUAUUUGCAUUUCUGUUUUUAUUUUUACAUAUUCUCUUUAAAUAGACCCAAGUCCCAUGGACCCUCAUGGAUCCAGCAGGCAAAUGUCUGCAUCUUCAGUUUUACCCAGUGAAAUGUCAUUGUUGGAGACCACUAUGUGCUCCUCACCUCAUUGAGCGAUUAUUCUUCAUUCGUUUUGGACCUACUGCUACUGCUUGUGAAGGAAAGGUAAGUAGGGAAGGCUGUGGUGUAGUAUUAACAAGCUAUAUGAAGAACAUAUAACUGCACUGUAACCUACAUUCGUUGGAGAAAAAUAUUUUAUUUUAGAUGGUGCUUGAUGAUUAACUGCAAUGACAAUGUGCCCUGCUAACUGUGCUGCAGUCCAAAGAUGUUGAUCCAGUGUGUAGUAGCAUUAGAUUACAUUUAGCAAUAUAUUUAUUUUGACAGUCUAUAGAUAAAUAUAAACUCUCUUUCGCUCUCUGUGUAGAUUUAUGUGUAGUUUUUUAUUCAUUAGACACUAAUUGCAUAUAUGGGGGUCAUGAACAUGAACAUGGAUAAUUACUGAUGGGACAAUAUCUCCAGAAUCCCCCAGUGCAACCGCUGCCUCUGCUUGCACUUUGUCUUGUAUGUAUAUCAUGUAAAAAAUAAUGUGUACUGUCUUUGUUCUUCUUCUUCUUCAUUUUUUAGGUGGUUCCUGGUUUUUAAGCCUGUUCCUAACUCCCCUCUGCGUGCAGGCGCGUCACGCAACAUUAUAGGAAUUAACUGUAAUAAUAUACUAAGUCUUACUUAUACAGAGAAAUAAAAUAAAUCUAAAGAGAAUUGCGAAGUGCCCA